RNAcentral lists this small RNA (127 nucleotides) under Marmota monax (woodchuck). Lineage: Eukaryota; Metazoa; Chordata; Mammalia; Rodentia; Sciuridae. The record is from RNAcentral.
GCUGGGCAUGGUGGCGAAUACCUGUAAUCCCAGAAACUCAGGAGGCUAAGGCAGGAGGAUUGCAAGCUCAAGAUCAACCUUAGCAACUUAGUGAGGUCCUAAGCAACUUAGUGAGACCCUGUCUCAA